CCCGCGUCGCGACAAACAGGUUGAUUUGUCACCCUCCGCGAAGAUGAUGGGAUUCACCAGAAAUUACCUCGUGAGCCUGUUCCUCUACGUCUUUAUUGUCAACGAGAUUCGUCAGCCUGCGGUGACGUGCCAAGAUGAAGAAGGCAGCCAAUGCAUACCAAAGAAGACCUUCCUGGCGUUGCUGCGUUUACCGGAAGUCAGCUCGAAUCUGGCGGCAUACUCGAGGACGGCAAGGAUUAUUCAGGAGACGAAGAACCACAACGAUAUAGCUCAUUUGAAGGCUCUCAGUUCCGAGGAGAACGACGACGCUGAGAUCUGCAUACCGGGCGGUCUCUAUUUGGAGCUCUUCAAGGAUCCGGCAUUACGUGGUCAUCUCAGCGUAAUGGCGCGUACCCACAAAUUGCCCGAAUUUCCCGGACGUCUUCUGGACGACAGCGAGGAGAUCGACUCGCGAGACCUGAUCCCCGAAUCGGAAAAACGCAGUCUCGCCACUUUGGCCAAGAACGACGACCUGCCGGUCACCAUUCAGGAACGCGAGGACGACGAUGACGAAGAGAAGAGAAGCAUUCCUUCCAGCGGCGAUGCGGACAGCCUGAUGCGCAUAUUACUGGGCGACGAUUAUCAUCGACGAGGGGCUGGUGUCUACGACUACCUGGGCGACCUGGAUCCAGAAGUGAUCGAGUAUCCAUUGGACAAACGUAACAUCGGCUCCCUGGCGCGAGACUUCGCGCUGCCUACGGGCAGACGUCACAUUGGUUCGGUGGCACGUGAUUACGGUCUACCAAAUGGUAAGAGGAACAUCGGCUCUUUGGCCAGGCAGAGCAUGCUGCCGCCGAACGGCAAGAGAAAUAUCGGUUCUCUGGCGAGAUACUCCAUGCUGCCGACGGGUAAAAGGAAUGUCGCCGCGCUGGCCAGGGAUUCCUCUCUGCCCUACGGUAAGCGAUAUCUCGGCUCGUUGGUCCGAAACGGUGGCUAUCCGGUCCGCGGAUACGACGACGGCAAGCGCAACGUCGCCUCGUUGGCCAGGAACGCCGACUGGCCCGGUUUCGUGAAGCGAGGUGGCACCGCGCCAGGCAGGAUGAUGGUCCGGGUAUUAAACCGCCAUGGGAGAUCCUUGAGCGACGAUCGCGAAGCGCAGAGCGAGCCUUUGGACCUCCAGCAGCUCAUCAGGCAAGGCUACGACAAUGGAAACGACGCCGCGGCGAACGUCGCCAGCGAUUGGACCACCCCUUUCAGCGUCUCGGAGAAUCUGGACGAGAGCAGGGCGAAGAACAGGUCGAACAGGAGAAUCGAUGCCGCGUUGCAAGCGAGGCACAAACGGCAGAUCGACUUUUCCGAUGAGUAUCCGCUGCCCGUUGUGCAGAACACCAACAUGCUCGACUACGAGGACAUGAUGGAGGCGUUGACCGAUCAUUAUCCGAACGCGGAGAAGAGGUUCAUGGGUUCCGCGCCGGAGAUGCCGGCCGACUCGGGCUACCCUGAAGUAUUGCCACCGAGUAAGAGACAUAUCGGGGCCCUCGCACGCCUCGGCUGGCUCCCGUCGUUUCGUACACCACGAUUCUCUCGGUCACCGCGAUAUCUGGUCGAAAGUACCAACAGAUCAAUCAGCCACGUCACGUCACGUCACGUCACGUCAAUGAUAACUCACCAAAUACCAAUCAACCAUCUACCACUUCUACAAAUCACUACGUAACAAAACAAAAUGUUUUCCAAUUGUGUCUUCUUCUUCUACUACUGCUACUACUACCACGAUACCACCUCAGGACUCAUCACGGGAGGAUCCCGCAGAUGGGUCCUCGUCCAACUACACCCCCAACGCGUCGGCUCGGUCGCUAAGACCGAUGUUC
RNAcentral lists this unclassified non-coding RNA (1847 nucleotides) under Pogonomyrmex barbatus (red harvester ant). Its description in RNAcentral is "neuropeptide-like 1, transcript variant X1". The record is from RNAcentral. Lineage: Eukaryota; Metazoa; Arthropoda; Insecta; Hymenoptera; Formicidae.